AUCCUGCCUCCCCGACACCUCCAACGCGUCGCCGCCUCCUGCAACGCCCCACCCUGCCUCACCGCGCGCCGCUGGCCGCCGCCGCCCACCCCGCUGGCGCGCCUACCCCUACCCCGAGUGCCCCCACACCCGCAGCCUUCCACUGCCGGCGACCAGUGGCCUGCCACCGCCGACGACGAGGAACUGCCGGAUCUGGACGAAUCCGGUGGGGAAUGGCGUGUAGGCAGCGAAUCUGGAAGGAAGGCUGCCGGGGCUUGGAGCACGACGGCUGGCCGGCGCGCCAUGGCAUUGGGGGGAGGGGGCGUCCCAUGCUCCGGCCGUUUGUGUCCGCGCGAGGAGCUCACCCCCAAAGAACUCCUCGGGCGUCCUGCGGGCCCAGGCCAGAGGCGGCAGGCCCCAGCGCGGGUAGCCCGCCACGGGGGCAGACAGGAAGGUGUCGAUUCGGAUCACCGUGGUCCGACGACGCGCCUGGCGCCGGCGGGGGACGUGGGAGGGCAGCAGCUCACGGGCGAGGAGUCGAGGCCGGCGCGGGCGGCGGGAGGGGGGACUCGCCGUACCAGGGCUAUGACGUGCAGCGUCUGGCGAGGUGGGUGGACCACGCGCUACCCUUCUCCCUGCUCCUCCUCGACGUCUUCAUCCGCCAGCACCUGCAAGAGAGUUGCUGGUCAGAAGAUGAUGGCGAGUUCCUCAUUCCAAUUGAGUUUAUAUUGUGUAGGUUUCUUCGUAAUGAUUUGGAUUACCGCAGUCAUGUUCAAGUCCAAUGAUAUCUUGCGCAAGCAGACCGCUCUCAAGACUGCUCUCAAGGGCUUGCGCUUCUUAUCUGGUGUAUCAACAUUAUUGUCAUUGUUCUAGCAGGCUACAAGGUUGGGGGAGCGACCCUGCCGUUGUCAUGACGGCUGCUCCUUCUGGCCGGAUCGAGGCACGAAGACCUGUGGGAUCCCCUCCUUCGGUAGGACCUCCUCAUCUGAUUGCACUCUUGCACAAACAGAGAGUGGAGCGCCAGCUUCAGUUUCUCAUCUGAUCCCACUUCUGGACUCCAUGAAUGAAGAGGACUGCAUGUGAUGAGUUAAGGCACAAGAAGAUCUACGACCAUUUUAGCUCCAGCAGUUAGUACACAACCAAUCAACAGUGCAUUUUCACGACCCAGGCUUCUGAAUUCUGACUGACAGGCUCGCAGGCACAGCCACAUAUAAUCUCACGCAUUCAAAAUGCUAGCUACAUGAAAUACGCCCAGAUUUACGAGUAGAAAUCCAAGAUUCCUCCUCUAUGUUCAAUUUUCCUAAUAGGAAGAACCAUACCAACAACCCUUGAACUAGAUUGGUUGAAGCAGCAUACAUACAUAUUCAUGUUUUACAUUUUAAAUUUGAAGACCAAGGCAACUCCCGAUCGAUUUAAUUGGAGGCAUUGCAGUCCAAUUGUUCUAAGGAUUGGAACCAGACGUGUGACUCAAUACUGCUUGGAACAUGUGAGCAAAGUUUACGUACAUGCACCUUCUUGGAUGAUACAACUUCUCUAUGUUUGUACCUCCUCGUCAUUAAAACUUUGCAAACUUUAUGAGUAAAAAGUAAGAAGUAAUGUUCUCACUUCUCUUUUUUAUGACCAUCAUUAUCUCAGUCUCAACAACAUCCAGGAGAUGUACCUACGUACCUACUGUUAGUUCAAAAGCUUUAUUUCACAAGUUGGCAACAUGAUAUUCAGGAUGUUAAGCAGGUGUUAUAGUUCUAAUUUGCCUUCUUCUCAUAAAACUUGGGUCUCAUAAACAGUAGAGACCGUAGCCCGAUGUUGCUCACUGCACACUUAUACUUAUUCUGAUUUCUGAUGGCCUCCUAAAUUUGAAUUAUCGUCUUGAUGCCAGGUGGAGGAUGUCGUGGGUUUGUCACGGCAGAUGUCCUCGUGAAAGGACUUAGUUGUGGAGCCAUCGCUACGGGUUAGCUUAAAGGGGUUAAACCGGACAAAGGGACACGGGAGUUUAUACUAGUUCGGCCCCUUCGAUGAAGGGAUUUGCUAGGAAAACCCAUCUCCAAAAAAAUAGGGCCAAAUUUGAAUUCUAAUAGAGUUGAAGAGACGCAUAGAGCAAGAGACAGGGAUAAUACUUCCUUGUGGGCUUCCUGAGCAGUGGCGGAGCCAGAAAAUUUGUAUUAGGGGGGCCGAGGGAUGUUGAGGCAGGUUAGAGAGGGCCAAAUCAUAUAAAGACAUGCUUUUAGCAGCAAAUAACCAUGAAUUUUGCACUGUUCAUCAGUAAAUUAACUACAAAUCCUUGAUGUUGGGGGGGGGGGGGGGGGGGGGGGGCAGGGCCCCUGCUGGUCCCCCCUGUCUCCGCCACUGUUCCUGAGAAAUCUACAAUGAAGAAUAAGAAGGGUGCAGUAACUAAGUAUGCAUGUCAUAACUAAUUCUAUUGAAAAUAGUUAUUCAGGAAAAUUAAGCUAUAUUGAAAUGUUGCAUGGUUCAGAUAUUGGGUCUAUGAAGAUUUGUUUAUGCCAUAAAAAUGCAUAAAUAAAAUCUCGUGUGGCCAUGUAAUUCACUUGUUAUAUGUCAAGUUCGAGCUCCUAAGAACAGGGUGAAACUGUUUGUUCUGAAGAACAGAUGUCACUGUUCGGGCUCUCUUUUGUUGUACUUUCUAUCCGCUUUCCUUCUUAGCCCCUUUUUGAUAACUUAGUUCGAACCCCCCUCUUUUGGCCCCUCUGAUGGUUAGACUGUUAAUAUCCUUUUAGAUUUCCACUAGGCAGCCUUUGUAUAUACAGAUAUUCCAUUUUAUUGAUUAAUGCUACAAGCCAUGCUUUGGAUUGGCUCAUGACCUGUGUGUUGAUGUCCAUCUUUAUAUUUGAGAACUAAGGGCUCUGUUCUUUUAACCAUGAACCAAUUUAAGUAGCAAGUCCGUUUUUGUUGGUUAGUUGUAUCAUUGUUAUUCAACACUGAGCACUAAUUGACAACCAACCAUGAUCAUUCUUUGAGAAAGCUAUGGGACAUACCUGAAAAUAUGAAUUGUUCGAACAAUGUUGUUAUGUUAUAGUUGUUUCAUUACUUGCAAAGUUGUUUGAGUGGUAUGUUUUUCAACUCUUUAAGCAUAUAUUUAUUUAUUUUGCACCCGUUGCAACGCACGAGCACUUUUGCUAGUUGAACAUGCAUAAGCCAAGCACUAGCGUACUAGCACUUCUUGGGCUGUGUUUUGCCUCACGAGAUCAAAGUGUUGUCUCACGACUUUCAAGGAACCCGUCAGGGGUGGUGCUGCGUGUGGAGCUUUUCUUUUUUUGGUCACUGGUCCUAAAGGUGAUACGACGUGCUGCGACGGAUAACCGACCUCGACUGUGACCACCUUCAGCAUGCGUUCAUGUGUCGGCGUCUUCGCGUUGUCACUCCGCCGGACCGACCCCGGCUCUCAGAUUGUGCGGUCAGAUCGAAAACUUCAGCGGCAGCCGCACACCUCAGUAUGCCGGAUUCACGGCCUAACGCGAAUAACUAGCAGAACGCGUAAAGAUGUGCUACCUCGCGUCGCGGGAAGUACUGGAGAGGUGCAUGCAUGCAUAUGGCCGAUGCGCAGGACAUCUUAAAAACGCAAACUGGCCUAUGGCGACCCAGGCGAGGAGAACAAGCAUGGAUGCGUACCGUUCAUACAAGGCAGCGCACAGAACCGACAAAGAUUCCACUUUGUUGCAGUACAGGGAGAUGCCACCCUUUCCCCUUUUUCUAUUCAUUUGUUAAUUAUACAUGGAGGCGGUCUGUGCUUUGGAUUGGUAGUUUGUUUUCCAUCUACUUUCCAUGUAUUACAAUUAAUGAUCUACACCUCUUCCGUACUAGCACGUGCAUGAUCAAAAGUGUCCUAAUUAUUUUGGCACUUGGAGCAUGCUUUCUUAUUAGCAGAUCAAUGGGCACUGUCGGUGCGGCACAGUCUACGCCAUGUAUUGAGACUUCAUCAAGGCAUCGGUGUAUCGCCUCGACACCGUCCCUCGAACUCUGACCUAUGUCGACGCCUCCGUAUUGAUGAUCCGACCUCGACGCUCAAGCUAUAUUCCUCUGAUUAUUUACUUCGCUUAAGUUAAUUAAGUAGAAGAGUUUUUUUAAUAAUGGAUAUAUUAUUAUUAUCAUUACUUGUUAGUACUUUUGUCCUGCACUAUUUUAUGUGUGCAGGUAAUCAACCUCGACUACGUCAUGCGGUCAAUUCUGUGGCCUAUGUUGUCGUCCUGCCUGCACCGAUCAAAUUGUGCCAUCGCCCCAACGCGCGUCCCUGUGUGAGCCAACUUCGACCGGUCUAUGUCGUCACCUCGGCGUGCCAACCUUUGCCAGCAUCGCCAUGCUGUCACUUCAUUGUCCGUCAAGCAGUGGGUGUGUGGAUUGAGUCUCAAUUUUGGAGAGUAACCUUUAUUUAGAUUGCUACAACAAACAAAUCAGGUGUUAUUAAUCCUAGUAAUUUUUCUUGCUUGGUUUUGUUUUUUCUGAGGAAGUAUUACUCUUGUUUGUUCCAUCAUUUGUACACAGGUCUGUCAAAUGAUGGCCGCAUUAACGAUGGUUGCGUGAUGGUUCGGUCAGUUUCCCGUCCACAGUUCGGCGAACGCCUCAUCGGGGACCUGGACCGUCCUGUGAAUUCAGGCUUUGUCAAGCCGGCGCCCCGUACCAACAUUGGCUUCGACGCCAGACCACAUCUCUUUAACAAUUUUUUUUGCGUAAAUUAAUUAUGCGAGGAUUUUUUGUAUAUUUAUAUUAUUAUUUUUUGGACUGCACUAUUCUACAUGUGUAGGUAAUUGACUUUGACCGCGUCACACGGUCACUUCGGCAAGCCAAUGUCGUCAUCCCAAUCGGUAAAUGAUCCGGGUUGGAUAGCCCUGUCACCUCGGCUGGACCGGGGGCUUUGCCAUCUCUACUCCGAGGACUCCGGCAUCAUCAGCCGACCAGCUUCGUCAGCUCGGCUGGACCGGGGCUCCCCAACACAUCAACCACGCUAUGUCGCCACUUCGUCAAGUCGAACUCUUUUCUUGAACACUUCGGAACCAGCUUGGGGGCUGGGACCUCGGCCAGGCCAAGGACUAUGUCUUUGUCCCACUAUAAGUCCGGACCCCAUAAUCAACACCGAGCACACUAACCAGCUAAGUCGCUUUCAUGCUCAAUUUGUUUUAAUGAUUAAAUUUUGUUCGGUCCGACCAAUCAUUAUACCUUUUUGGCAAAAAGUUAUUUGUGAAAAAUUUCCUUGUCAAAACUUUGUUUGUGGCACAAAAAUUCAAAUACACCAUUUACUCGGGGGCUUCCUUUAUGAA
This is an RNA transcript of Triticum aestivum (bread wheat), 5246 nucleotides long. RefSeq lists it as uncharacterized. Lineage: Eukaryota; Viridiplantae; Streptophyta; Magnoliopsida; Poales; Poaceae. The transcript has 8 exons. The record is from RefSeq and is a predicted model, not a curated record.